Molecule: non-coding RNA, 1881 nt
Organism: Cyanistes caeruleus (blue tit)
Lineage: Eukaryota; Metazoa; Chordata; Aves; Passeriformes; Paridae
Source: RefSeq, a predicted model, not a curated record
UGUUGUGUAUGCACUGAAUUAAUGUGUCUAAGUAUAUACAAAUGCUUCAUUCCUCCACACCACCCUCUAUCCCCUCCAUGAAUGAAGCUGGGGAGAAAGAUCAGGGCGGCUGUGGGUGAGUGAGCUGUGACUGGACACCCAGUGAGCGAGCUGGGCCACAGGGCACGGGCACUGACACCUUUGUGGGGCGUGUUUUGUUUUAAAAGGAAUGAAAAGCUCAGAAUUGCACAACCCCUGGGGUGGUGGGGGUAGGGCACACACGGAGGGGCACGGGAAAGAGGGCCUUCUCCACAGGAGCUUGUCUGCUCCAUCUGGGGUCAGAAAGGCAGCUAACUCUGAAUGCAUCGCUUCGCAAGAAAUGAGUGUCUUCCCCAACAUGCUGACACUUCUCUUCUUCUGAAGGUACUUCAUAAGGCAGAAGUAUUGUUGUUUUAUGUUGUGGCUCUUUCAGAAUGCUGAGGAUUGACAGAAACCCAGGCCACCCCAUCUGUGCUGCUGGUUCUGUGAUCAGGAGUCACCGGGAGCUCGGUGCUAUCCCAGUGUCACCUGCCAGGUGGGGGUCUGUGAUUCCAAGGGGACAGUAAUGUCAUACCCCAGGCCUGAAUCUGAGCCUCAUCUGAAAAGUCAGUGGUUCAAGACCACCAGGUCAGGAAAUACAAUUUGGCUAUCUCUGUUCUUAGAAAGAGACUUCUUUUUCCCCUCAGUUUCCCUUCCCUAUACAAGGACUGACACCUAUUUAGCAAUUCCAGCUUACAGUACUGGGGAAGCAGCAAAAACUGGGCAAAAGAAGGGAUUAAAAACCAUUGUGAGUAAUGUAUAGAAUGGGUACCAAUUUCCAUCUUUAAAACGCUAUAAAAAAUUACCAGUUUUCUCAUCCACCUGCAUUUUCCUCUUGCAUUACCCCACCAUAAGUACCCCCACAAGCAGCCAGUGCCUAGCUCCCAUCCCAUGUCCAGGGGAACAGUGAUUUCAUGCAUUCAAAGUUAGCUACCCCCUACACAGCUGCUCAGUUAAUAAUCGACCCAUUUAACAGCAGGACCAGUUUAUGCUACAUAUGUCAGAGUACCUUACCUCGAAAGAACGGCAUACAUAUCUACACUUAGAAAAUACCACUCACAGUUCCCUACUGUGGUUAUCCCAAAAGGGUUUAGUCUUCAGAGUACUACGGACAAUACAGUGUUUCCCCCCAAGGAGAGCUCAAGGGUGGGGCUGGGUGGGCCAAGCUGCUGGCAAACGGCGCUGGGUGGCAGCCCGUGGCUCCGUGUACCUGUGGCCCUGGUCACACCUGAGCCAGCAGCCUGGGGGUGCUGGGCAGGGUUCACCUUCACCCCAGAGGGUUCAUCCACAACAGCACUGGAGCGUGAUUUCAUGGCUUUUUUUAUUGGUGAGGGGAGAGGAACCGGGAUAUAACUACUCACACUGCCUAACGCCUUACGAAACUCCCCUUAAAACCUCUCUCUGCCAAGGUCCACAAAGCUCACUUCUAAAAUUAAAUAAUAGAGAAGGAAAAAAGAAAGCCAGCUUUGACACCUCUUCUUUUCUAUUGGGAUGUCCUUGGGCUUCCCCUCUCACACCUUUUCCUGUAUUGCUGCCACAGACCCCAGCUGCAGGAUGCCCUGGGCAUCAGGUGUCCCUCUGGCUCUGGUUAGGAGAUGAGACUGGCUGCAGCUCAAGCCCCACUGAGUCCCACCACCAUCAGUCAGACCUGAACCCCCACAAAGUUCCCUAAAAAGUGCUCUGGACAAUCAGACUUACAGGGAGAUCCCUGCGGCAGCAGCGCCGACAGCCUCACCUGCCGGUGAUUUCCUCAGGAGCAAGGAGCCUACCAUCGAAACAAACCACUGUUCCACACAGUGGUAAAAUAAAAUUGUGCUAAAAUCA